This 301-nucleotide ribosomal RNA is filed under the name uncultured bacterium. Its description in RNAcentral is "partial 16S ribosomal RNA". It matches the Rfam family "Bacterial small subunit ribosomal RNA", at positions 509 to 809 of the family's 1533-position model. The record is from RNAcentral.
CAGCCGCCGCGGUAAUACGGAGGGGGUUAGCGUUGUUCGGAAUUACUGGGCGUAAAGCGCACGUAGGCGGCUUGGUAAGUUAGAGGUGAAAGCCCGGAGCUCAACUCCGGAAUUGCCUUUAAGACUGCCGAGCUAGCAGGUGAGAGAGGUAAGUGGAAUUCCGAGUGUAGAGGUGAAAUUCGUAGAUAUUCGGAAGAACACCAGUGGCGAAGGCGACUGACUGGACAAGUAUUGACGCUGAGGUGCGAAAGCGUGGGGAGCAAACAGGAUUAGAUACCCCAGUAGUCCCUGUCUCUUAUAA